UGACCUGCCUUGCAGUGAGGAAUACCGGCAGAAAUCGCCGACAAUACCGCAUAGGCUCCCCACUUCGCAAGAAGCGGUGAGCAAAGCUCCGCAAGGGGCGCUGCAAGAGGGGCCCGUGGCCGAUUAGCUGGUUGGUGGGGUAAAGGCCUACCAAGGCGACGAUCGGUUGCUGGUCUGAGAGGACGAUCAGCCGGAUUGGGACUGAGAUACGGCCCAG
Molecule: ribosomal RNA, 217 nt
Filed under: uncultured bacterium
Lineage: Bacteria
Description: partial 16S ribosomal RNA
Rfam family: Bacterial small subunit ribosomal RNA
Source: RNAcentral